This 152-nucleotide small RNA is filed under the name Caenorhabditis briggsae. RNAcentral's name for it is "snoRNA CBG29621". It matches the Rfam family "Nematode sRNA ceN72-3_ceN74-2". The record is from Rfam by way of RNAcentral. Lineage: Eukaryota; Metazoa; Nematoda; Chromadorea; Rhabditida; Rhabditidae.
CGCUUCGGUCCGGAGUUGAUGGGUUAUCUUUGAUGAUGUUAUUGACUUUAUCUGGUGCCGCCAAUUAAUUAUCCGUUCGAAUUUCGAACAUCUUCUUCCGUUCCCAUAAAGAAUGGAAACCCCUCUUCCCAUCAACACCCCUUGACCGAAGC